UGGGGGAUAUUGCACAAUGGGCGAAAGCCUGAUGCAGCGACGCCGCGUGGGGGAUGAAGGCCUUCGGGUUGUAAACUUCUUUUGCUCUGAACAAGGCGCACCAUGGGGUGUGUUGAGUGUAGGGGUUGAUUAGCGCCGGCUAACUACGUGCCAGCAGCCGCGGUAAUACGUAGGGCGCGAGCGUUGUCCGGAAUUAUUGGGCGUAAAGGGCUUGUAGGUGGCUGGUUGCGUCUGUCGUGAAAGCUCAUGGCUUAACUGUGGGUUUGCGGUGGGUACGGGCUGGCUUGAGUGCAGUAGGGGAGGCUGGAAUUCCUGGGGUAGCGGUGGAAUGCGCAGAUAUCAGGAGGAAUACCGGUGGCGAAGGCGGGUCUCUGGGCUGUUACUGACACUGAGGAGCGAAAGCAUGGGGAGCGAACAGG
Molecule: ribosomal RNA, 419 nt
Filed under: bacterium
Lineage: Bacteria
Description: partial 16S ribosomal RNA
Rfam family: Bacterial small subunit ribosomal RNA
Source: RNAcentral